Molecule: long non-coding RNA, 8732 nt
Organism: Equus asinus (donkey)
Lineage: Eukaryota; Metazoa; Chordata; Mammalia; Perissodactyla; Equidae
Source: Ensembl
CAGGAGGCGGGGCGCGCACGGACGAGGUGCCCGGGGCGGAGGUGGGGGCCGAGGGCCAGAGCGCGGGGCAGCCGGCGGGGCAGGGCUGCAGGGACAGUAGGGGAGGCUCGGGGUAGAGUCUGGAGAAGAGUUGCAGAGACACUCAAGUCCAGGGGGAGGGAGAAGUCGGCGCCGGCCUUAGGAAAGGCUGAGAAAUGGGAACGGAGAGACCGGGAGCGGGGGACGGGAAGGCUGAGAAAACGGGAGGAGAACAAGUGGAGAAGGACACAGAGACGAGGAGCCAGAGCUUUCACGGGAGGCAGACGGAAGGGAAGAAAAUGGCCUCUAUCCUAUAGGUUCCAGGCACAGAAGCUGAAGAGGAAAGAAAGUGUAAUAAUUUUUCCUGAUUCCAAGAACUGAACCAGGAAAGAGUUUGCCUUCUUGAAACAUGAGGUCACCCUUCUUUGUGAUUUCAGAAGAUAUAACUAUAGAUAUUUGUUUUCAAUUUCUUUUGUAACUCAGGUCACAACUGGAAGGCUCUUGUGUUGUAUGUUGGUUUGUUUCGUUUCCCCGAGUGUGGAAUAAUACCUGCUUGGAGGGAGGCCAGAGUGGAGAGGGACUGAGGUUCAGGGUCUGCUCCUGGCACAGCCAUCAUCUCCCUGUGACCCGUCUCCGAGCCUCAGCGUUCUUUGCUAUGUUAUAGUGGAGAACAAAGCAACAAAGGCAACGAUAAAACCCUGUUCCUGGGCAGCAGCAUGGAGGGGGCUGCAAAGGAUGCUUGUUGUCCCACAUGCCUGAUCUCCCCUUCCUCCUGAUUCCUAAACUUCUGUAUUUUUAGCUGAGCACGUGGUGACCCUCAACAUAGACUGUUUCCUUGUCUCCCUUGUUAGACGUGGUCAAUGGAAAAUAAGCAAAAGUUUUUUAAAGGGAAGGGAUGUUUUCUCUUUCUCUGGUUACUCCUUUCUAAUGGCUAGAAUGUGGAUGUGAUGGCUGGAGCAUAAGCAGCUAUUUUAUUCUAUUUUUUAAAAUUACUUUAUUGAGGUCAUACUGGUUUAUAACAUUGUGUAACUCAGAUGUACAUUAUUAUAUAUCAGUUUCUGUAUAGACUGCAUUGUGCUUACCCCUAAUAGUCUAGUUUUGGUUUUUUGUUUGUUUGUUUGUUUUGCUGGGGAAGAUUAGCCCUGGGCUAACAUCUCUUGCCAAUCUUCUACUUUUUACAUGUGGGUUGCUGCCACCGCGUGGCUGAUGAGUGGUGUAGGUUGGUGCCCAGGAUCUGAACCCAUGAACCUGGGCUGCCAAAGUGGAGUGCCGGCCCCCCCAAUAGUCUGUUUUUUAUCCGUCACCAUAUAUAUGUGCCUCUUUACCAUUUUUGCCACCCCCCUUCCCUUCUGGUAACCACUAAUCUGUUCUCUUUAUCCAUGUGUUUGUUUAUCUUCCACAUAUGAGCGAAAUCAUAUGGUGUUUGUCUUUCUCUGUCUGGCUUAUUUCACUUAACCUAAUACCCUGCAGGUCCAUCCAUCCAAAUGGGAUGAUUUUGUCUUUUUAUGGCUGAGUAGUAUUCCAUUGUAUAUAUAUACCACAUCUUCCUUAUCCAGUCAGCAGUGGCUGGGCACUUGGGUUGCUUCCACAUCCUGGCUAUUGUGAAUAACGCUGCAGUGAACAUACGGGUGCAUAGAUCCCUGUGUAUUGUUGGUUUCACGUUCUUUGGAUAAAUACCCAGGGGUAGGAUUGCUGGAUCAUAUGGUAUUUCUAUUUUUAAUUUUUUGAGAAAUCUCCACACUGUUUUCCAUAGUGCACAAGCAGUAUUUCAGACCAUGAGGAAACCUUAGGAAUGAAAGCUGCCUGCUGCAGAGCAAGCAGACCGAGAGCGCCUGGGCUCCCGGCACCGUGGAACACUACCACCCGGGGACUGCCUCUGUACUUCUUGAAUAAGACGGGGAAAUACACCUCCGUCUAGUGUACUCCACUGGUAUUUGGGGUUUGUUAUUUGCAGCCUUAUGCUACACAAGGCGGGAGAAUCAUCAAUGAGGCUGUUUCAGUAACUGAAAGGAGAGACGAGGGCCGAACCGCAGUGGGAAGUGGAUUUAAGAGACAUUUGUCUGGGACACGCCAAGGUCCCGGGCCCGAGGGACCUUAAUGGGGGCUGCUGAUCGCAACGAUAUAGAGUUCAGCAGGAAGGUCUGAGUUGGAGAAAACAGAUGUGCCCAGAGAGGUACAGAUGCCCCCAGUCACACAGCCAGCAGGGGCUGGACCCUGACUGGAGAGGGUAUUAGGUAUCUACUGAUGAGCAAGAAAUUACUCCCAAACUCCUCGAGUGAGCGGGCGUCAGGGGUCUGGGAGCUGCUGAGCUGGGGGCUCUAGCUUGGGGCCUGUCGUGAGGGAGCUGGUAGGACGCUGGCCAGGCUGCAGUCACAGAAGGCUUGACGGGGCUGGAGGAACCGCUUGCAAGGUUUAUGCCCCUGGCUGUGCCCCGCGCUGACGGCCUGCCCUGUGCCCGCCAGUGCUGGAAGUUUUACCUGAGCAAUAUUGAUGCCACUACUGGGGGUGGAGGGGAGAGAAAGUGUGGCAUAGUGGCCGAUGCUGGUAAGUCCCAGCAAAGGCAGUUGGGAUGACUAAGAGAAAUGCUGCCUAUAGGCAUGUGGCCCACAGUGAGCGCUCCCUAGAUGUUAGCCCUGGGUGGGCGAGGGGCAGACACUGAGGGUCAAGUCGCCCCCAGCUUUGCCUCUGGGUCGUGGUGGUGCCUCGGUCUCCUCAGCCAUCACACGAUGCUAACAUCCGUCUUCUAGGGUCGUCUGAGGGUGAAAAGAGGAAGUACGUGUCAAACGCCUAAGCUGGUGCCUGGCACAUCAUAAUUGCUCAAAUAAAGCUUUACGAUGGUUCAUUUCCUGCUCAGAACUCUCCAGGGGCUUCCCCUUGCCUGCAGCCCCACCGCCGGCCCUUCAAAGCCUGCUCUGAAUCCCGCCACCCUCUCCAGCCUGGCUGCUGGCCUCCAGCACCCCCUCCUGCCCCCUGACAGGCAUCCCCACGCCCAGCCCUUCCUUCCGCUUGUUUCUUUCCCCGUGGGAUCUCCCAGAGGGCCCCGCCCUCCUGUAACCCCAGGGCGCUGCGUGCCCCUCAGUGCUUGUUCCUUGCACUUGUUCCCGGCCUCGUGCUGGGCACAGCCCUGGCGGUGGCUAGCUCAGCUGAGGUGGGAGGGCAUGGGGCGGGGGGGCAGGGGGCAUCGGCGAGAGGAGGGUGCUGCUCCGGGCAGGCUGCCCGGAGGAAGUGAGCCUGAGCUGAGGGGCGCGUGGGACCCAUGCCCCUCCGGGUGUCCAGCCAGCCGUGGAUGGCAGUUGUGUGUUUUUCAUCCGCACACUCUAUCUGCUCAAUAGUUGCUUUUGAAUGUGACUGGGAGGAGGGUCAUUUGAGGAUUUGAGGUCUGAGAACUUUGCCCCAAAUACCCUCCCCCACUAGCACGUUCAAGGUGCCAGAAACCUCCCCAUUAGAACCAUGUGCCGCUCAGGAGCCAGCGUCUCCAGAAAGCUCCUGUUCGCGUCUGCACCUGCAUGUCCCGUGGGUGGGUGACGAGCAGCCGGUUAGUCCUGAAGAACUGAUCUGACAAACCAUCUUGAAACCACUGAGCAUGUCACAGGCUUCGCUCCUCCUCAGGUCCCCCCCAACCCCCAAGUCACCCCCUGGUGGUACUUUGGGGAGUAACCUGCCCCCGAAGCUGUGCAGCCUCACCUUGUCCAAACUCACCCCUCUGAGGGCUGUCCCCAGGGCCCUGCUGAGGCUUCCCACAGUGGCAAAUGUGAGGAUCCCAUGGAGCCUGAGGGGCGAUGGCCUCCUCCGUCCCCCUCGCCCAUGUAUUACCCCAGGAGAAAGGCGGGGCCUUCCCUGGAGCCUGCUCCCAUGGAAUGUGGAGCAGCUGUGCUGGGGUGGCGUGAGCUCAGAGCUGGAAGAGACCCCGAUAAGCCAAUUGUUCAGCCCUGUGCUGUUAGGCAGGCAAGGUGCUAUUAUUAUCCGUGGUUUGGGAUGAGGAAAACCCCUAACUGAGCUACUUCACCCCAUCCCCCUGAUCAGGCCAGCUCUGUCUUGCGGCGAAGCACAUCCGCCUGGGGCUUUUGCACCAGAUGGUGUCACAGCACUUCCAGGAGGGAGAGAGGUGUGCUGGACGGGAGCAAGGGGCAGGCGGCCUCCACCCGACACCUCACUCGAACGGCUUCGACAGGAGGAAGAUUCUGCUCUCCUGUGACAAGGUGGCCAGAGGGGAAGUGGUUCCAGUGCUGGUUAAUUGAGAGGCAUCAUCAAGGACCGAGAUUGUUUUCAGCCUUCAUCUCUGCCAUUGCCAAGGGGUCAGCCAUGUUUUUCCUCAUGGUCACAAGAUAGCUACUUGUCCCCAAGCAUCACGUGUAGACAUGACAUUGGACAGUGAAAAGAGAAGAGAAGAACUCUCCUGGAAGCUGCCAACAAUCCAUCCUCAUGUCUCAGCGGCCAUAAUUACACCACUGCUCAUUUGAAAUCCAAUAUUAAUGCAAUGCUGGGCGACAGUUAAUUCUCCUUGGGUCUCUCAUGCUUCUGCACAUCUCUCGAGGAGGUUUGGAUGGUGAGCAGCCUUAGACGAUGGUGUUUUCCCCCAGAUCAAAGGGCAGCUUUGCUUAGUUCCCAUUGUGAAAGACUCAGCUUCCCUAAGCUCAGGGUUCCUCUCCUUUAACGCCAACCACUGUUGUCACAUGACCACACCUCACUGCAAAGGAGGCUGGGAAAUGUAGUCUUUAGUGAGACAGUCAGGUGCUCAGCUGAAAGUUCCAUUUCUAUGGAAGGAGGAGAAUGGAUAUUGGGGCAAUUGGCAGUCUCUGCCACAGUCACUCCAACGACACCGGGCUUCUGUUAGGGGAUCAGGAGGAACGGUGCUGGAGAGGCAACAGCGGUGCCUGCAUAAGAGGCUUGGUGCCUUGAACCCAUUUGACAGCUGAGGAAUCGAGCGCACAGAGGGAGGUGUCAGGGCGGGUGACUCCUGGCUUCAGGUUUUCCCAUCGUCUUCCCACCGCAGGGUCAGCGCACGUCGGGGGAGGCCGCCUCCUCCUAAAAACACUCAGUUCCCUGGGCUUCCGCGCGUCCUCCUCGCCCCGGCCCCUCCGCCCUUCGGUCUCCCUUUCUGUCUCCUUCCCCUCCUUCUCUCCCCCCCGUCCCUGCGGGAGCCCCCAGCCCGGCCCUCUCACUGGCAUGAUGUCUGUUCCGCUGACCCGUGGCGCUGAACAUCCCUCCUCACCGUGACCCCCCCUCCCCUCUCUGUGCUCUGGACGCGUGUACCCAGCUGCCUGCUGACACCCCCGCCUGGGUGUUUCACAGGUCUCUCGGACAUCACAGGUCCUAUACAACUCGCGAUGUCACCCGCAGACUUGCUUCUCCUCCACUCUGGCCAGUCUCAGAAGCUGUCUGCGCUCCAGCUAGCAGUCUUGGCAUCUUUGAUACCUGCCUCUAUCUCUCCUUCCGCAUCCACUCCACCUCCAUACCGCCCUGCCCGGAUCACUGCUGGAGCCUCCUCCUGCCUCUCUGAAGCCACGCCAGCUUGCCCAGCCAUUGCUUACCAUCUUAACAUGGAGGCAUGAUCACACUAUUCUUAUUCUUUUUUUUCAUGAGGAAGAUGGGCCGUGAGCUGACAUCUGUGCCCAUCUUCCUCUACUUUGUAUGUAGGAUGCUGCCACAGCAUGGCUCAAUGAGGGGUAUGUAGGUCUGCACCCAGUAUCUGAACCAGCAAACCCUGGGCCGUGGAAGCAGAGUGUGUGAACUUAACCAUUCAGCCACAGGGCCAGCCCCGUCAGUAUUCUUGUUCUUAAAACCUUCAGUGACUCACCGUUGCUUUUCCAAUAAAGACCAAAAUUCUUUUCAAGGCAGAGAUAGUUGCCCCUCCCCCAUUAUCCAUUUUUUUUUUUCUUUAGAAAGAGAACCCCUUUAUUGUAGCUGGUCACAAGGCCACUUAAGUGGACUCCAUUUCCCAGCCUUCUUUGUAGCUAGGUGGGGCCACAUGACUAAAUCCUGGUCAGAUGGAUCCAGGCGGAAGUGGUGUGUUCUCACAUGGGGGUGGGGUGGGACUUCCUUUGCCCCUUCCUCUUUCCUGCUGACAAGAAUGCAGGUGUGAUGGCUGACACUCAAGCAGCCAUAUUGGACCAUGAGGCCCAGCCAGUGCUGAGGCUGGCAGAGCAAGAAGACAGAAGGAGACUGGUUCCUGACACUGUGAUGCACACACCUGCCCUGGAUCACCUGCUUACUUUUGGGCCUUUCUUAUGAGAAACAGAAAUAAACUUAUUUUUGGUUUUCUCACAGUCCAACCAAAUCCCACCCCAAUCACAUGGCCUCUGCUGCCCUCUGGAGUCUCAGCCUGUGGCCCUUCCCUGUGCUUACUCUGCUCUAGCCACAGUGCUGACGUUGUUUCUCCUACACACCAAGCUCUGCCUCGACUCAGGGCCUUUGCACAUGCUCUCCUCUACCUGGAGCACCCUUCCCACCCUUCCCACCCUCUUUUCCUGGCCAUCUCCAGCUCACCCUUGAAGCCUCAGCUGCGAGGCUGCUUACUCCAAGAAGCCUUCCCUGACCGCAGUGGCAUACCUAGAGUAUUCAAUUCUGAGAGCAGAGGGUUAUUUUAAAAUAUCCUCCUCUGGACAUUGCUUUCAAUAAUCAUCAUGACAUGAAGAGUAAUGAUGGCCAAUAAACAAUGGAGCGAAAAUCUUCUCUCACUGAAUUUCAGAUAUCUAAUCAUCACAGUAAAAAAUAAAGUAAAACAAAUAUUACAAAAGAAAUAAAAGUCAUGGAUUAAUACUUUUUAAUUACAUUAAUGCAUUUUUUGACAAAUGGGAAAACUGCAUCUACAGCUAUUGCAGUAAUGAGUAAUAACACUACACUUUCUGUUUUCCACCUUCUGCAAAUUGUCAAUGCCUUCAUCAAAAUAAUCUUCGCAUAUUUAUGCUCAAGAAAUAGCUUAGGCGGAUUUGUCAAUUUAUCUUUAAUCGUAAUUGGCCAAAGAAUAUUUUUUAUUAAUUUUUAAUUUGGAAAUGUUUUUUCCCCACAUGUAGCAAUAGACUGAGAAAUUGCUAAGGAAAUCCUUAAACAUAAGGAUAAGUUUGGCAGAAAUUCAGAAAAAAUCCCUUUCACAAUCAGUUUCAGAAACUGCCGUUCUAGUCCGUGUCUGUUUCUUUGGGAUGGAUUCUAGCAGCUGUCAAAUAUCUUCCCAGUUGAAAAUUUUUAAACAAAUAAAAACUCCAAAUGGUCACACAGAACUAUCCUACCACUGUUUAUUUCAAACCCAGUGUUUAAACCAAGGACAUGGGGCCGCCCCGGUGUCACAGCAGUUAAGGUUGCACAUUCGGCUUCUUUGCGGCCCGGGGUUCGCCAGUUCAGAUCCCAGGUGCAGACAUGGCACCGCUUGUCAAGCCAUGCUGUGGUAGGCGUCCCACAUAUAAAGUAGAGGAAGAUGGGCACGGAUGUUAGCUCAGGACCAGGCUUCUUCAGCAAAAAGAGGAGGAUUGGCGGCAGAUGUUAGCUCAGGGCUAAUCUUCCUCAAAAAAACCCCCCACAAAAACCCACAAUAAACCAAGGACAGUACAACAGGAAUUUGAGACCCAGCUUUCCCCCAACGCGAGCCUCCACAUCACCACCGGUAGCGGGUCCCCGAGGGUCGGCAUUGGCUAAAUGACUGGGAAUUCUCUCAGUUAAUUUCCAAAUAGAAUACAUUGCUUCUUAAAGGAUAAGUAAUAAAAAUGUGCUAAUUUGAAACUUACAUAUAUGUUACUAAAAGUCAACAGUAAGUGAAACAAUUGUUGAGGCCUUAAACCAACAAAAGAAUUUUAGCGGGACGACAUUGUUUAGAAUUGCUGGUACGUAGUGAUAAUAAAAAGCAGACUGACUUUGAGUGGGUUCUUGGUAUUUUAGCAUUUGUUGCUGCCGCCGCCGCCUCUGGUUGGCCUGCAUCCGGCAGAUGCUCCCAGCCCACCCGCCCUACAGUUCCCUUUGAGGAACUUUCCUCAGUUAGAGGGUGUCUGUGUCAUGACUUCCUUGUCGUCAGUUCCCCACUAGCCUGUCUGCUCCGUGCGGACGGUCACUGUCCUGUUCGUGGCGGUACCCCAGCUCCCGGCAGAGUGCCUGUCACCCACUAGACCUCAAUAUGUAUUUGUUGAAUGAGCACAGGUGAAGACCCUGGCGUGGAGUGUGCACUCAAUAAAGGGUAGCUAAGUCACCAUUAUCUGCAGCACGUUUCGUCUGAAAUGUCACAAUCCUUUGAAUGCCGCCACAUUCAAUGUCAGGAAAACGCCGCCCCUACUUGAAGCCUGAGUGGUUCUCUUGGCUCAAACCACAUCUCCUGCGGGAUCUCGAGAAGACAACGUGACUUUCAUCUUCCCCGACAGGCAUUUACAUGGGACCACGGGUACAUCUCAUUCAUCUCCGGAGUCCCAGGCAUCCCGCCGGAGGGCCUGGCACAAAACAGGAGUCAAUAAAUACUCAUUCAACAGCCAGGGUUUCCUGAGCAUCCACCACACCGGCAGGAAUUUUCUUGCGUGUGUGUGGUUUCUGAUGGUCACGGCAACUCUCCAGAGGCAGUAUGAGCACGCUCAUUUCACAGACAGGGUGACCACCCCUGGGCCGAGUGCUUAAGUUCACAUGCUUGCUUAGGCGGCCUAGAGUUUUACCAGUUGGGAUCCUGGGCGCGGACAUGGCACCGCUCGUCAGGCCACGCUGAGGUGGCGUCCCACAUGCCACAACUAGAAGGACCCACAGCU